AGCAGAGCAACAUGUUUUGUAUGCUGUGGAUCAUCUUUCAGACAAUGGCUCACCUGGUGGCGGCUGGAGGACAGUCUUCAGGUAGUGGUGAGGGUGGUGGUGGUGGCGGCAAUGGAGGAGUUGUGAAUGGAGGCAUGGUCGGUAAUGCUGUUAACCCAGGGGUUAUGAAUGGGCUUGCCUUAAAUGGGCGACCCUUUCUGGCACAGG
Molecule: long non-coding RNA, 207 nt
Organism: Oncorhynchus kisutch (coho salmon)
Lineage: Eukaryota; Metazoa; Chordata; Actinopteri; Salmoniformes; Salmonidae
Exons: 3
Source: RefSeq, a predicted model, not a curated record